GCCCCUAUGGCCCAAUUGGACUAAGGCGCCGGUCUUCUAAACCGGCGAUUCUGGGUUCGAGUCCCAGUAGGGGCU
This is a transfer RNA of Lichtheimia corymbifera, 75 nucleotides long. It matches the Rfam family "tRNA". From Rfam's summary of the family: Transfer RNA (tRNA) molecules are approximately 80 nucleotides in length. Their secondary structure includes four short double-helical elements and three loops (D, anti-codon, and T loops). Lineage: Eukaryota; Fungi; Mucoromycota; Mucoromycetes; Mucorales; Lichtheimiaceae. The record is from Rfam.